Molecule: unclassified non-coding RNA, 323 nt
Filed under: fungal sp.
Lineage: Eukaryota; Fungi
Also listed under: 1 other name
Description: partial contains 5.8S ribosomal RNA, internal transcribed spacer 2, and large subunit ribosomal RNA
Rfam family: 5.8S ribosomal RNA (bases 1-133)
Source: RNAcentral
UGGUUCUGGCAUCGAUGAAGAACGCAGCGAAAUGCGAUAAGUAAUGUGAAUUGCAGAAUUCAGUGAAUCAUCGAAUCUUUGAACGCACAUUGCGCCCAUUAGUAUUCUAGUGGGCAUGCCUGUUCGAGCGUCAUUUCAACCCCUAAGCACAGCUUAUUGUUGGGAACCUACGGCUUCGUAGUUCCUCAAAGACAUUGGCGGAGUGGCAGUGGUCCUCUGAGCGUAGUAAUCUUUUAUCUCGCUUCUGUUAGGUGCUGCCCCCCCGGCCGUAAAACCCCCAAUUUUUUCUGGUUGACCUCGGAUCAGGUAGGAAUACCCGCUGA